Molecule: long non-coding RNA, 279 nt
Filed under: Gossypium raimondii (Peruvian cotton)
Lineage: Eukaryota; Viridiplantae; Streptophyta; Magnoliopsida; Malvales; Malvaceae
Description: long non-coding RNA (GRAI_LNC000225)
Source: RNAcentral
GGAGAGAUUGUAGGAGUAAGUUGUGGAGUGGAUUAUGAAGAGAUAAGGGGAGAAAAUCAAGGAAGUGGGAGAGUGUGGGAGUGUGGUGCUGUUUGGGGAAGGUUUUGCUUGUGUAUUUUCAGCUAGGGGGACUUUUGGUGGUAUUUUUCGCUAUUUUGGUGAGUUUGGAUGACCAAUUUUUCUCUAUGUCUUUUGGAGUUUUUUUUCUCUUAUUGAGUGUUCUUCUUUUUCUUUUGCAUCGACUUCGAAACUGACCAUUCAUGCAUUUUCGGUUAUUUC